Molecule: ribosomal RNA, 253 nt
Filed under: uncultured bacterium
Lineage: Bacteria
Description: partial 16S ribosomal RNA
Rfam family: Bacterial small subunit ribosomal RNA
Source: RNAcentral
UACGAAGGGGGCUAGCGUUGUUCGGAAUCACUGGGCGUAAAGCGCACGUAGGCGGAUGUGCCAGUCAGGGGUGAAAUCCCGGGGCUCAACCCCGGAACUGCCUUUGAUACUGGUAGUCUCGAGUCCGGAAGAGGUGAGUGGAAUUCCGAGUGUAGAGGUGAAAUUCGUAGAUAUUCGGAGGAACACCAGUGGCGAAGGCGGCUCACUGGUCCGGUACUGACGCUGAGGUGCGAAAGCGUGGGGAGCAAACAGG